GACGAACGCUGGCGGCGUGCUUAACACAUGCAAGUCGAGCGGUAAGGCCCUUCGGGUACACGAGCGGCGAACGGGUGAGUAACACGUGGGUGACCUGCCUCUAGCUCUGGGAUAAGCCUGGGAAACUGGGUCUAAUACCGGAUAUGACUCCACGGCGCAUGUUGUGGGGUGGAAAGCCUUGUGUGGCUAGAGAUGGGCCCGCGGCCUAUCAGCUUGUUGGUGGGGNGAUGGCCUACCAAGGCGACGACGGGUAGCCGGCCUGAGAGGGCGACCGGCCACACUGGGACUGAGACACGGCCCAGACUCCUACGGGAGGCAGCAGUGGGGAAUCUUGCGCAAUGGGCGAAAGCCUGACGCAGCGACGCCGCGUGAGGGAUGACGGCCUGGUGUAAC
Molecule: ribosomal RNA, 393 nt
Filed under: uncultured bacterium
Lineage: Bacteria
Description: bacterial SSU rRNA
Rfam family: Bacterial small subunit ribosomal RNA
Source: RNAcentral